Molecule: small nucleolar RNA, 128 nt
Organism: Cavia aperea (Brazilian guinea pig)
Lineage: Eukaryota; Metazoa; Chordata; Mammalia; Rodentia; Caviidae
Source: Ensembl
CUGGCCCUGAAUCAAAACCAGCAGCUUCCUGACGCUGAAGCAGGAGCCUAAAGAGAUGUCUUACUAUGGUCUGUGGCCAUUUCAGAAUUUGGACAGUGAAAUGGUCAAUUCAUUAGAAAGGAGCCCAC